GGCCGUGGAUCCAGACGCACUCGCCACCUGCCCGCCUCCUCCUCCUCGGAGGCGAAACCAGGCGGAGGAGGGCGAGCAGGAGAAGGCAAAUAGCAGCCCCGAGGGGGCGAGCGCGGCGGAAGGUGCGGGUCGGCCCCGGACUGGGGGUCACUCACCGCAGGCCGGGGCGGUACACAGCGGCCAUGAAUCUCUUCUUUGGACCUCUGGCCUGGUCAUUCUCUCCACAUUCCCCUGGAGAAUGCAUCUGCCCCACCCAACCACCACCACAAAGUCCUCUGGUAAUUUCAAGUUAUGUCUCCAGCCAGACAUCUCUCUUCAGCUUGAGACCACGGGUAUCACCCCAAAGGCCAUAGCACCUCAAACUCAAUGUGGCUAUGCUAAUUUCAGGUGGACUUCUGCUAUUUGCAACAGAAACAGCCCUAAUUCUCAGAUUUCUCAGAGUUCUGUACUGGAACAUAAUGGGACAAAAGAGCUGGCCUCCAGCCUUGGGCUUGCUGCUGACCCUCAUCUCUUCCACCCAGGCUCCAUCCUGGACUCAACCUCAUGUGGCCCUCUGGAUCAGCCCUUGGAUGUCUCACAGACCCGCUGCAAUGGAUGCUGGGGAGUGUGGCCCAGAUCCCCCCCUUCAGGAUCACGGCAUUCAUUGAAACUGAGCAGGACCCCGUGGAGCCCUCCCAGGAACUAACGCCCCCACCCAGGUGGAGAAUGGUAACUUCAUGCUGAGCACAAGAUCCUUGGAACACUGCCCUGUUAUCUCACCACCAGCCAGUCAGAAGAAAAGUCACAUACCCUGCAGCUCCCACCCCAGAUUUUGCCUAUAAAGACUCCCAGAAAACCACUGGGAAGUUUGGGGUUUUUGAGCACAAGCCACCCUUUCUCCUUGAUUGGCCCUGCAAUAAACCUCUCUCUACUCCAAA
Long non-coding RNA from Delphinapterus leucas (beluga whale), 917 nucleotides. RefSeq lists it as uncharacterized. Lineage: Eukaryota; Metazoa; Chordata; Mammalia; Artiodactyla; Monodontidae. The record is from RefSeq and is a predicted model, not a curated record.